Daktulosphaira vitifoliae (grape phylloxera) is the source of this 949-nucleotide long non-coding RNA. RefSeq lists it as uncharacterized. Lineage: Eukaryota; Metazoa; Arthropoda; Insecta; Hemiptera; Phylloxeridae. The transcript is spliced from 4 exons. The record is from RefSeq and is a predicted model, not a curated record.
AUGAAUUAAAAUAAAAUGUAAGUUCAUGACCAAACUGGCAACGUCUAUAAUUCAUAAGUCUUAGAAUAAUUUCAACGCUUUGUCCCUUUUAAUUAUACAGACUUAUGAAAGAGACGUUGCCAGUUUGCUUAUGAACUUAUAAACAGCGGGACACGAUAAAAUACAAUUGACUGACUGUUGUCAGUGCCAGUUCAGGAUCACAAACAUGUAUCAAUGAAGUAGCUCAGUACGAAUGGUUAUACAUUUAAUAUUAUAAUAGACAAAACAAUAGACACGAUACAGAAUAGAACAAAUCAACAUCCAAAUAUUUUAAAAAUAAUUGAUCAUAUUGGAGCGGGUAAAUAACUUCAAAGAGGAUGUAAUGAUGGAUCAUUAAAAAAUAGUAAUGUUAAUGUUUAAAACAACUUGAAGUAAUACAUAUAAAUCAGCCAGUUUUGUAGGAUUUUUUGAUCGAUAAAAAGAUAACUAAUCAAAUACACGAGUUUAUAAGUUAGUGUUAAAAGUGUCGCCAAGUCAACUGCUUUGUGGAACAAACAAGGGCGCUCGACCAAGUCAGCUGAUUUAAUCAAACAAAAUCUUGGCGUUUAUUUAAUAAUACUAUACAAGAUACGUUGGAAUUCAUUGUAUGUUGCGUAAUAAAUUAAUUAAGAAUAAUGAACUUAAAUUUAAUUGCAAUAUAAUAUUGAAUUAUAAAAAUUACGAUUUAAUCAAAAUACUAAAUUAUUAUUAGUUGAUGGUGUAAAAUAUCAAAUGUUAAUCUUUUAUAUAUUUUGUAUAAUAUUUUUAUAAACACUAGACAUAUAGGGCUAUUGUUAUAACUUUCAUAAACAUGGAAAUUUCUAUAAAAUAAUUAAUUAUAUAUAAUAUCAAUUUUAAAACCAGGAUAAUAUAUAUUUGUAAAGAGAGACAGGAAGAUGGAUACUGAAUAUUUAAAUUUAUAGCUAGUAAU